AGUGGCGGACGGGUGAGUAACACGUAAGAAUUUGCCUUUAGGAGGGGGACAACAACUGGAAACGGUUGCUAAUACCCCAUAUGCUUUCGAGUGAAAUGGAUUUUUCCGCCUAAAGAGAAGCUUGCGGCUGAUUAGCUUGUUGGUGAGGUAAUGGCUCACCAAGGCGACGAUCAGUAUCUGGUUUGAGAGGAUGAUCAGACACACUGGAACUGAGACACGGUCCAGACUCCUACGGGAGGCAGCAGUGGGGAAUUUUCCGCAAUGGGCGAAAGCCUGACGGAGCAAUCUCGCGUGAGGGAUGACGGCCUAUGGGUUGUAAACCUCUUUUUUCAGGGAGGAACAAAAUGACGUGUACCUGAAGAAUAAGCAUCGGCUAACUCCGUGCCAGCAGCCGCGGUAAGACGGAGGAUGCAAGUGUUAUCCGGAAUCACUGGGCGUAAAGCGUCUGUAGGUGGUUUGAUAAGUCAACUGUUAAAUCUUGAAGCCCAACUUCAAAAUCGCAGUCGAAACUAUUAGACUAGAGUAUAGUAGGGGUAAAGGGAAUUUCCAGUGGAGCGGUGAAAUGCGUAGAUAUUGGAAAGAACACCGAUGGCGAAGGCACUUUACUGGGCUAUUACUGACACUCAGAGACGAAAGCUAGGGUAGCAAAUGGGAUUAGAUACCCCAGUAGUCCUAGCCGUAAACAAUGGAUACUAGAUGU
This 700-nucleotide ribosomal RNA is filed under the name uncultured bacterium. Its description in RNAcentral is "bacterial SSU rRNA". It matches the Rfam family "Bacterial small subunit ribosomal RNA", at positions 94 to 823 of the family's 1533-position model. The record is from RNAcentral.